GACGAACGCUGGCGGCGUGCUUAACACAUGCAAGUCGAACGGAAAGGCCCUGCUUUUGUGGGGUGCUCGAGUGGCGAACGGGUGAGCAACACGUGAGUAACCUGCCCUUGACUUUGGGAUAACUUCAGGAAACUGGGGCUAAUACCGGAUAGGAGCUCCUGCUGCAUGGUGGGGGUUGGAAAGUUUCGGCGGUUGGGGAUGGACUCGCGGCUUAUCAGCUUGUUGGUGGGGUAGUGGCUUACCAAGGCUUUGACGGGUAGCCGGCCUGAGAGGGUGACCGGCCACAUUGGGACUGAGAUACGGCCCAGACUCCUACGGGAGGCAGCAGUGGGGAAUAUUGCACAAUGGGCGGAAGCCUGAUGCAGCAACGCCGCGUGCGGGAUGACGGCCUUCGGGUUGUAAACCGCUUUCGCCUGUGACGAAGCGUGGGUGACGGUAAUGGGUAAAGAAGCACCGGCUAACUACGUG
This 468-nucleotide ribosomal RNA is filed under the name uncultured bacterium. Its description in RNAcentral is "partial 16S ribosomal RNA". It matches the Rfam family "Bacterial small subunit ribosomal RNA", at positions 28 to 507 of the family's 1533-position model. The record is from RNAcentral.